GAUGAACGCUGGCGGCGUGCCUAAUACAUGCAAGUCGAGCGAACAGACGAGGAGCUUGCUCCUCUGACGUUAGCGGCGGACGGGUGAGUAACACGUGGAUAACCUACCUAUAAGACUGGGAUAACUUCGGGAAACCGGAGCUAAUACCGGAUAAUAUAUUGAACCGCAUGGUUCAAUAGUGAAAGACGGUUUUGCUGUCUCUUAUAGAUGGAUCCGCGCCGCAUUAGCUAGUUGGUAAGGUAACGGCUUACCAAGGCAACGAUGCGUAGCCGACCUGAGAGGGUGAUAGGCCACACUGGAACUGAGACACGGUCCAGACUCCUACGGGAGGCAGCAGUAGGGAAUCUUCCGCAAUGGGCGAAAGCCUGACGGAGCAACGCCGCGUGAGUGAUGAAGGUCUUCGGAGCGUAAAGCUCUGUUAUUAGGGAAGAACAAAUGUGUAAGUAACUAUGCACGUCUUGACGGUACCUAAUCAGAAAGCCACGGCUAACUACGUG
RNAcentral lists this ribosomal RNA (497 nucleotides) under uncultured bacterium. RNAcentral's name for it is "partial 16S ribosomal RNA". It matches the Rfam family "Bacterial small subunit ribosomal RNA", at positions 28 to 507 of the family's 1533-position model. The record is from RNAcentral.